GCGUGCGGGCACUCCAUUACCAUGUCCGUGCGUACAUAAAGAUAGGAGGAAAAAUUAACCGCUUGGCUUGCGGUGCGUCAGUGUGGAGACCUGACGUAAUGUCGCGCGUCCCAUCGCGGGCGGCGGCGAGGCACAUCAUUGCGGAGGCAGGUGUGCUAAAGCCGGGAAA
This 169-nucleotide non-coding RNA is filed under the name human gut metagenome. RNAcentral describes it as "malK-I RNA". It matches the Rfam family "malK-I RNA". RNAcentral also lists the same sequence under 1 other name. The record is from RNAcentral.